Molecule: ribosomal RNA, 492 nt
Filed under: uncultured bacterium
Lineage: Bacteria
Description: partial 16S ribosomal RNA
Rfam family: Bacterial small subunit ribosomal RNA
Source: RNAcentral
AGUGAACGCUGGCGGUAGGCCUAACACAUGCAAGUCGAACGGCAGCACAGUAAGAGCUUGCGCUUACGGGGGGCGAGUGGCGGAAGGGAGAGGAAAACAACGGAAUCUACUUUUUCGUGGGGGAUAACGAAGGGAAACUUACGCUAAUACAGCAUCCGACCUAGGGGUGAAAGCAGGGGAUAUUCGGAGCGUGCGCGGAUGAAUGAGCGGAUGUCGGGUUAGCUAGUUGGCGGGGGAAAGGCCCACCAAGGCGGGGAUACGUGGCUGGUCUGAGAGGAUGAUCGGCCGCACUGGAACUUGGCCACCGUCCAUACUCCUGCGGGACGCCGCAGUGGGCAAUAUUGGGCAAUAGUCGCAAGCCUUGUCCAGUCAUACCGCGUGUGUUACGAAGACCUUCCGUUUGUAAAGCCCUUUUUUUGGUUAAAAACAGCAUCAGGUUGUUACCCCGCUUUUCUGACGGUACCCGAUGAAUAAGCACCGGCUAACUUCGUG